UGGGUAACAUUUCACCAAAGAGGAAGCUAAAAAUGCCAGGGGGUGCACUAGUUUUAUUUCCAAGCUAUCACUGAGACCCCCAGGGAGCUCCUGAUCUGUUGGGGAGGAGCCUGGAGGUGCGUGGAGUGGAGCUCAGGGCUGCAGAGGCGAGCAGAGCUGAGCGGCUGGGCGGGCCUGGCCUGGCCAGCGGAGGGCUGAGCGGCGGCGAACAUGCGCUUUUGACACGGUGGAGGCUUUCUUGAUCAUGGAUGGUGAAGAUAUACCAGAUUUUUCAAGUUUAAAGGAGAAAACUGCUUAUUCGAAGGAGCUUUCCUUAAAGCAUAAACAAAGCUUCCAGGAAGCUCGGGAUGAGCUAGUUGAAUUCCAGGAAGGAAGCAGAGAAUUAGAAGAGAAUUGGAGGCACAAUUAGUAUAGGCUGAACAGAGAAAUAGAGACUUGCAAGCUGACAACCAAAGACUGAAGUAUGAAGUGGAGGCAUUAAAGGAGAAACUAGAACAUCAGUAUGCACAGAGCUACAAGCAGGUUUCAGUAUUAGAAGAUGAUUUAAGUCAGACUCAGGCCAUUAAGGAGCAGUUGCAUAAGUAUGUGAGAGAGCUGGAGCAGGCCAGUAAUGAUCUGGAGCAAGCAAAAAGGGCAACAAUAGUUCCACUGGGAGACUUUGAACAAAGGCUAAAUCAGGCCAUUGAACGAAACGCAUUUUUAGAAAGUAAACUUGAUGGAAAGGAAUCUUUGUUGGUCUCUGUACAGAGGUUAAAGGAUGAAGCAAGAGAUUUAAGGCAAGAACUAGCAGUUUGGGAAAGACAACAGGAAGUAACCAGAAAGUCGGCUCCUAGUUCUCCAACUCUAGAUUGUGAAAAAAUGGAUUCUGCUGUCCACGCAUCACUCUCUUUCCCAGCUACGCCUGUUGUCAAAGGAACAGAAAACAGUUUUCCCUCACCGAAAGCUGUACCAAAUGGUUUUGGUACCAGUCCACUAACUCCUUCUGCUAGGUUAUCAGCACUCAAUAUUGUUGGGGAUCUCUUACAGAAAGUAGGGGCUUUAGAAUCCAAAUUAGCAGCUUGCAGGAAUUUUGCAAGGACCAAGCAUCACGGAAAUCCUAUAUUUUAGGGAAUGUUAACUAUGGGGUUUUGAAUGGCAACAGCACAGAGUUCUCUCAAUCAGGGCCUACAUCUUUCUUUGGCAAAGGGGCAGUAAAUGGCUUUGACCCAGCUCCUCCUCCUCCUGGUCUGAGCUCCUCGUGUCCGUCUUCGGCACCAGGUAUGCUGCCUCUCAGUGUGUGAGUGGCCGGCCUCCAGGUAGGGGCUCCUGCCCUCCUCCAACAACCCAGGAUACCCAUGUCUCGCCCCUUGGUGCCUGGGCCCAGCCCUGCACCCCUCUGUCUGCCUCCCCAUGGCUGGCAGAGGGCAGGCCGUAUGGAGUGGUGGUUGCUGGGCCCCUCCCAGCCCCAAGACUCCGCACGAUAUCAAUACUGGCUAUUUUCUCUUCUCGCCGUAGUGCCAUUGGUUUCACAUGAUUGCACUUUGUGGGUCACAAGAUGAUACAUACGUGUAUUACUUGGUCACUGGAUGCAGAAGUACCCAUUCAUCACACCUGCCUCAUAGCCCCCACUCUGCUGUACUGAUAGGAUUUAGUUGUGUUUAGAACAUUGCCCAUCUUCUAGACGUUCUCCCCCAAAUCAGGUCUAUGUGUGCCCUCCCCCUGUGCUUCCACACAUCGCAGUGCUCACGAUCAUGUGUCCCCAGCUCCACCCCUCACAGUCUGGGUCUAUUUCUGGCAGAGUCAGGAAGGUUUCUGAAUUAGGGAACAUUUUUUACACCUUCUGAUUUUACUUAAGCAGUUACCAUUCCAUGGACCACCUCCCAGAGCAGCAAAAUGCCCUUCUGAGCCCCAGGUGACAGGAGCCUUGGGGCCUGAGCUCACAGGCUGAGCCUCUGUGCUGUCUCCUCCUCAGGGUGCCUCAGACCCAGGGGAAGGGGAACCCCUCGCCAGCUUCCCCGUCCUUCAGUUUGAUGACGUCUUCAGAGCAUUUUUGUUUUCUCCUCUGAGGGCCCGUCCAGUUGGGUUAGGAAGGGUAGAGUGGCCUGAUUCCAGGGCUGCCUGGUGCCAGCUCCUGAGGGCAGAAUGACCAAAAGAGGUUGUCUCUGUGCACCCUUUGAUUACUCUUGUGCUGCAUUUACUGUUUACAUUUGUUUUAUUGUACAUAGGUUUGUAAACAUUAUUGCCUAAGAUAUUUGUAUAUAAUUUGGGCUUUGUAGCUUUUACUUACUCAGAACUCAUAUGGCAUGUUAAUGACUUAUGAUGUCCUUAUCUGGGCAGCUGUAUAGGAUCAUCAAAAAAAGUCUUUUAAUGUGGAAACAAUAAAUUUCACAGAAAAAAAGGGGAAAAAAAUGCAAAGGCUGCCACGCACCCAGGUCUCCAUGCCAGCCCUGCCCGUGCUGGUUCCACAUUAUCUAUCUGUCCCUUCUUCACCAGGCUAGAAGCCAAGGAGUGCCCAGUGACCUGGAGGGAUUCUCUGACACCUCCACAGCCCUGUCUGGCUCAGGCACAAGGUUGCUGCUUUAUUGAGGCCCUGGCAUCUUGUAAGGGUUAGGUGGCCUGGGGCCUCCAAACUAGGAUAGGGACCUCCCAGGACCAGGCUUUAGCGCUGUCUUCAAAGUGCUACCGCUUACCUGGCUCACCUUGUUUAGGUGCACAGGUCUGAGUGGAUUGCCCUGCGCAAGAGGUCCAGUGAGUCCCCGAGACACCUGAGCGGAAACUGAGGUUCAACUUCCUGCUUCUUCAGCCUCAAGCAUACAUGGGUCACUACAAAAGUUUUGAGACAGCCUGAGUAUGAUCCAUUAUUUCACUUCCAAGAACUGUGUUUUUGUUUU
Nycticebus coucang (slow loris) is the source of this 2870-nucleotide RNA transcript. It is a transcript of the gene named nuclear distribution protein nudE-like 1, with no coding region annotated. NCBI's taxonomy places the organism in Eukaryota, Metazoa, Chordata, Mammalia, Primates, Lorisidae. The transcript has a single exon. The record is from RefSeq and is a predicted model, not a curated record.